AUUGAACGCUGGCGGCAUGCCUUACACAUGCAAGUCGAACGGUAACGCGGGGCAACCUGGCGACGAGUGGCGAACGGGUGAGUAACGCAUCGGAACGUGCCCAGUAGUGGGGGAUAGCCCGGCGAAAGCCGGAUUAAUACCGCAUACGACCUACGGGUGAAAGGGGGGGAUCGCAAGACCUCUCGCUAUUGGAGCGGCCGAUGUCAGAUUAGGUAGUUGGUGGGGUAAAGGCCUACCAAGCCUGCGAUCUGUAGCUGGUCUGAGAGGACGACCAGCCACACUGGGACUGAGACACGGCCCAGACUCCUACGGGAGGCAGCAUUGGGGAAUUUUGGACAAUGGGCGCAAGCCUGAUCCAGCGAUGCCGCAGGCGGGAAGAAGGCCUUCGGGUUGUAAACCGCUUUUGUCAGGGAAGAAAAGCCUUGGGUUAAUACCCUGGGGUGAUGGCGGUACCUGAAGAAUAAGCACCGGCUAACUACGUGCCAGCCGCCGCAGUAA
Molecule: ribosomal RNA, 498 nt
Filed under: uncultured bacterium
Lineage: Bacteria
Description: partial 16S ribosomal RNA
Rfam family: Bacterial small subunit ribosomal RNA
Source: RNAcentral